This 245-nucleotide ribosomal RNA is filed under the name uncultured Bacteroidales bacterium. RNAcentral's name for it is "partial 16S ribosomal RNA". It matches the Rfam family "Bacterial small subunit ribosomal RNA", at positions 524 to 768 of the family's 1533-position model. The record is from RNAcentral. Lineage: Bacteria; Pseudomonadati; Bacteroidota; Bacteroidia; Bacteroidales.
UACGGAGGAUGCAAGCGUUAUCCGGAUUUAUUGGGUUUAAAGGGUGCGCAGGCGGCUUGUUAAGCGGGAGGUGAAAUGCCGGCGCUCAACGUCGGAAGUGCCUCCCGAACUGGUGAGCUUGAAUGACUCUGCCGUGGGAGGAAUGUGUAGUGUAGCGGUGAAAUGCUUAGAGAUUACACAGAACACCGAUUGCGAAGGCAUCUCACGAAGGGUUGAUUGACGCUGAGGCACGAAAGCGUGGGGAU